This 255-nucleotide ribosomal RNA is filed under the name uncultured bacterium. Its description in RNAcentral is "partial 16S ribosomal RNA". It matches the Rfam family "Bacterial small subunit ribosomal RNA", at positions 524 to 777 of the family's 1533-position model. The record is from RNAcentral.
UACGAAGGGGGCUAGCGUUGCUCGGAAUCACUGGGCGUAAAGGGUGCGUAGGCGGGUCUUUAAGUCGGGGGUGAAAUCCUGGAGCUCAACUCCAGAACUGCCUUCGAUACUGGAGAGCUUGAGUCCGGGAGAGGUGAGUGGGAACUGCGAGUGUAGAGGUGAAAUUCGUAGAUAUUCGCAAGAACACCAGUGGCGAAGGCGGCUCACUGGCCCGGUACUGACGCUGAGGUGCGAAAGCGUGGGGAGCAAACAGGG